Molecule: transfer RNA, 72 nt
Filed under: Leptomyrmex pallens
Lineage: Eukaryota; Metazoa; Arthropoda; Insecta; Hymenoptera; Formicidae
Description: tRNA-Pro
Source: RNAcentral
UCAAAAAAUAGUUUAAUUUAGAAUUUUAAUUUUGGGGAUUAAGGGUAUAUAAAAUAGAUUAGUAUUUUUUUG